UGCUUGUGUUAGUUAGUUUCGACA
Molecule: non-coding RNA, 24 nt
Filed under: Arabidopsis thaliana (thale cress)
Lineage: Eukaryota; Viridiplantae; Streptophyta; Magnoliopsida; Brassicales; Brassicaceae
Source: RNAcentral